RNAcentral lists this ribosomal RNA (434 nucleotides) under uncultured Lachnospiraceae bacterium. RNAcentral's name for it is "partial 16S ribosomal RNA". It matches the Rfam family "Bacterial small subunit ribosomal RNA", at positions 341 to 792 of the family's 1533-position model. The record is from RNAcentral. Lineage: Bacteria; Bacillati; Bacillota; Clostridia; Lachnospirales; Lachnospiraceae.
ACGGAAGGCAGCAGUGGGGAAUAUUGCACAAUGGGCGAAAGCCUGAUGCAGCGACGCCGCGUGAGUGAAGAAGUAUCUCGGUAUGUAAAGCUCUAUCAGCAGGGAAGAAAAUGACGGUACCUGACUAAGAAGCCCCGGCUAACUACGUGCCAGCAGCCGCGGUAAUACGUAGGGGGCAAGCGUUAUCCGGAUUUACUGGGUGUAAAGGGAGCGUAGACGGUUUGGCAAGUCUGAAGUGAAAUGCGGGGGCUCAACUCCUGAACUGCUUUGGAAACUGUCGAACUAGAGUGCAGGAGAGGUAAGUGGAAUUCCUAGUGUAGCGGUGAAAUGCGUAGAUAUUAGGAGGAACACCAGUGGCGAAGGCGGCUUACUGGACUGUAACUGGCGUUGAGGCUCGAAAGCGUGGGGAGCAAACAGGAUUAGAUACCCUGGUA